CACAUCCCUCGGAGCAACUAAACCUGUGCAUCACAGCUCCUGAGCCAGUGCUCUGGAGCCCUCCAGCUGCAACUACUGAGCCCUUGUACCGCAACUGCUAAACCCUGUGUGCCUAGAGCUGGUGCUCUGCAACAAGAGAAGCCACUGCAAAAAGAAGCCUGUGCACCACAACAAAUAAAAGCUGUGCACAGCAGUGAAGACCCAGUGAUUUAAAUAAAUGUUAAAAAAAAAAUUCAACUCAUUAACCUGGCAUUUGAGGCCUUCUGCAAUAUGGCUCCAAACUGUCUUUUCUGUUUUAUCAUUGUCCCCUUUUGCAGUCUACAGUCUCACCAGGCUUAACUAAUUUAAGGUUGUAUCACUGUUUGCUCAUUGAGUUCCCUCAUCUAGAAUGUUCAUUCCUCUGUCAUUUAAAUUGCCAUCAGCUACAAAUCACAGAAAACCCCUCUUCCACCAGUUUAAACAAAAAAUAAUCUAAAUAAUGUUUAAAUGGAAUAUUUGUGGAAAUAAUAUUAGAAAAUUAAUGAGCUAAUUAAAAUUAUGGACUAAGGUGGCUGUUUAGAAGCUUCAUGAAAUAUAUUAUUGUCACCUGUCUUGUUACUUAGACCAAAACCUUGGAGUCAUCUUGACUUCUCUUUUUCUCUUAUACCCACCCCACAGUCAGUGCAUAAGUGAAUCCUGUUGCUCUUCAAAAAUAUAUUCAGAAUGUGACCAACUCUUAUCAUUGUUGCUACUAUCACCUUAUUCCUCACAACCAUCCUUUCUCACUGGGAUUAUUCCAGUUGCCUUCUAACUCAUCUCCUUGCUUCUCUGCCCUUGUCCCCAUUCUAUCUAGUCUCAGAUCAACAACCAAUCUAGUCCACUGAUAAUCUGAAGUGAAAUUAGGUCUUAAUAUUCCUUGGCUCAAAACCAUCCAGUGGCUCGCCAUGUACUUGAGAUAAGAGCCAAAGCCACUGCUGCCAUCAGCAAAGCCCUCUACAUUUGGCCCCACCUCACUCCCUAACCUCGCCUUCUACCAGUCUUCCCGCUCUCAUUCUGUCCCAGCUUCCCUGGGCUCCUUGCUGGACCCUGUGCUUCUUGCCAGCUUCACUUCUUUUUUUUUUUUUUUUAAUUUAUUUUUUUUAUUGAAG
This 1127-nucleotide long non-coding RNA is filed under the name Capra hircus (goat). Its description in RNAcentral is "lncRNA (ENSCHIG00010022163.1)". Lineage: Eukaryota; Metazoa; Chordata; Mammalia; Artiodactyla; Bovidae. The record is from RNAcentral.